ACAGGGUGAACUUGUAGUUAGUCAUACCAUAGUUAACAAGUAAACUGAGGCCUAGAGUUCAUUAGAUGGCUUUACACACAGUGUAGCUGCUGGCCUGGAUGCUAAUACUACAUACCGGGGCUUAUUUGCUCACCAUGCACCGGCCGUCUGGACAUGGAGGUAAAUUCAUGAACAAAAACAUGAACGGAAAUGAUACACCAGGAAGUGAGUGCAAGUGCGCAGUUCUAUUUCUUCCCCAAGACACAGAACCCAAGUUUUUUAUUCUGUCCUUCAAAAGAGAACUGAAUGAAUAAAGGUGUGCGGUCACUACGCCACCUAGUGGAUGAACGGAGAAACUGGCUUUCAUCUAAAAGAUUUUGCACCCAUCAUGUACAUCUCAAAGACCAGGAGUACAAGACCUGGACCUGAAAGGCUUGCUGGCUGCUAGCUUCUCAAUAUUUAAAAUAUUCGAACAACACUUUUAUGGAUUUUUUUUAACGAUUUCCCAAACAAAACUGUCAGAAUUGUUUUAAAUAAUCACUUAUUUCUCAUAAAAUCAAAUAAGCAAUCAU
Syngnathus acus (greater pipefish) is the source of this 551-nucleotide long non-coding RNA. RefSeq lists it as uncharacterized. The transcript has 3 exons. The record is from RefSeq and is a predicted model, not a curated record. NCBI's taxonomy places the organism in Eukaryota, Metazoa, Chordata, Actinopteri, Syngnathiformes, Syngnathidae.